AGAUAACACAGAAAAAGAAAGUUAGAGACUAAUAUCUCAUAGAUGAACAGAGGCAAACAUCCUUACCAAAAUAUGAGCAAAAAAUUCCACCAAUACCAUAAAAGGAUUGGACACCAUAAUUAAGUGUGGGGUUUAUUCAAGAUAUGGAAACAUUCUUCAAUAGUUGCAUAUCAAUGUAUAGUCAAGGUUUAAAACCAUAUGAUUACCUCAAUAGUUGGUGAAAGUUUUUGAAAUAAUUCAACAAGUGUUUGUGAUAGAAGCUCUUCAAAAACUGAACAUAGAAAAAACGACCUCAACUUAACAAAGGCACACAGAUCAAAAGUACAACAACAUAUCACCUCACACCAUUCCAAAUGGCCAUCAUUUAAAGAAAACACAACAACAGGGGAAUGCCCUGUUGGUCCAGUGGCUAAGACACCAUGAUCCCUAUGCAGGGGUCCCAGGUUUGAUCCCUGGUCAUGGAAUUGAAUUCCACACAGAGCGAUUGAGGUUUGUGGCAACCAAAUAAAGAAGUAAUAAAUAUAUGUGUGUGCAUAUUAAUGCAUUUAAGUGGAAUCCAGAAAACAGAUGCUGAGUAAACCAUUUGGAGUGUAGGAAGAGAUGCAGUCAUGGAAAACAGACUUGUGGACACAGUGCAGGAAGGACAUACCAAGUAUGUAGUAGAUAGCUAUUGCUAUGCAGUGCUCUAGUGGAAUUGGUUUUGGAGUAGGAGAGGAGGCCCAAGUGGGAGAUCGGAGGACUGCUCAAAAGGGAGGCUCACCUGUAUUUACUAAUAACUGAUUUAUUUUGCUGGGCAGCAGACACUAACACAACAUUGUAAGGAAAGAAAAUCAGUCUUUGUCUAAUUUGUGCUAGUGACAAGUAAAGCAUCACUGCAUGUCAAUUAAAAUGUGUACCCAGGAUGGCUUUAGUAUGUAUAGGCAAAGAAAAAGCAAAAAAAAAAGGUCUCACGAAUUCCGCU
RNAcentral lists this small RNA (961 nucleotides) under Bos taurus (domestic cattle). The record is from RNAcentral. Lineage: Eukaryota; Metazoa; Chordata; Mammalia; Artiodactyla; Bovidae.